GAUGAACGCUGGCGGCGUGCCUAAUACAUGCAAGUCGAGCGAACAGAUAAGGAGCUUGCUCCUUUGACGUUAGCGGCGGACGGGUGAGUAACACGUGGGUAACCUACCUAUAAGACUGGGAUAACUUCGGGAAACCGGAGCUAAUACCGGAUAACAUUUGGAACCGCAUGGUUCUAAAGUGAAAGAUGGUUUUGCUAUCACUUAUAGAUGGACCCGCGCCGUAUUAGCUAGUUGGUAAGGUAACGGCUUACCAAGGCAACGAUACGUAGCCGACCUGAGAGGGUGAUCGGCCACACUGGAACUGAGACACGGUCCAGACUCCUACGGGAGGCAGCAGUAGGGAAUCUUCCGCAAUGGGCGAAAGCCUGACGGAGCAACGCCGCGUGAGUGAUGAAGGGUUUCGGAUCGUAAAACUCUGUUAUUAGGGAAGAACAAACGUGUAAGUAACUGUGCACGUCUUGACGGUACCUAAUCAGAAAGCCACGGCUAACUACGUG
RNAcentral lists this ribosomal RNA (497 nucleotides) under uncultured bacterium. Its description in RNAcentral is "partial 16S ribosomal RNA". It matches the Rfam family "Bacterial small subunit ribosomal RNA", at positions 28 to 507 of the family's 1533-position model. The record is from RNAcentral.